This 560-nucleotide small RNA is filed under the name Pan troglodytes (chimpanzee). RNAcentral describes it as "retained intron". Lineage: Eukaryota; Metazoa; Chordata; Mammalia; Primates; Hominidae. The record is from RNAcentral.
CAACCCUGACCGACCAUGUCACCAGAUUGAUCUUUUCAAGAAAGCAGGAUGGACUAUCAUUACUCCUCCAACACCAAUCAUCCCAGACGGUAUGUUUACUUUCAUACACUGUUAGACUAAAAUAAUUACUUUAGUGACCAAGGAUCUUUCUCCUAUAGAGAGCAGCCCAAAUGUUAGCAGCUUAGAGAAUGUGUUUCCUCAGUAAGGUGUGAAGUGGUGCUUGGGACUGUGAGCAUCAGAACAAGGCUGGGACUUGUGUUUGCAACUUUUUCAUCCAUAGAAAAUGAAGUAAGGAGAAGACAGAAUAAAACAACAUCACAUAAAGCAAGAUAUGACUUUUUUUUUUUUUGAGACAGUGUCUUGCUUUGUCACCCAGGCUUGAGUGCAGUUGUGCAGUCACAGCUCACUGCAGCCUCAAGACUCCUGGGCUCAAGUGAUCUUUCCACUCCAGCUUCCUAAGUAGCUGGGACUACAAAUGCAGGCCACUAUGCCCAGCAAGUUAUUUUUUUUUAUUUGUAGAGAUGAUGUCUUGCUGUGUUCCCCAGUGAGACACCAUCUCU